GGGCCUGUGGUCUAGGGGUAUGGCGUCUGCUUUGCAUGCAGAAUAUCGGGGGUUCGAUUCCCUCCGGGUCCA
Non-coding RNA from Gongronella butleri, 72 nucleotides. Lineage: Eukaryota; Fungi; Mucoromycota; Mucoromycetes; Mucorales; Cunninghamellaceae. The record is from the annotation of a GenBank genome assembly.